CUUUUCGGUCAUAGCACCCGGAAACCAUCUGUUCCCUUUCCGAACACAGAAAUUAAGACGGGCCGCGUUGCAGUUAAGUAGUGAUAUCUCAAAUAUCGCGAACCUGUGAAUCUGAAAAGU
This 120-nucleotide ribosomal RNA is filed under the name Promethearchaeota archaeon. The record is from RNAcentral. Lineage: Archaea; Promethearchaeati; Promethearchaeota. RNAcentral also lists the same sequence under 1 other name.